RNAcentral lists this ribosomal RNA (490 nucleotides) under uncultured bacterium. RNAcentral describes it as "partial 16S ribosomal RNA". It matches the Rfam family "Bacterial small subunit ribosomal RNA", at positions 30 to 507 of the family's 1533-position model. The record is from RNAcentral.
AUUGAACGCUGGCGGCAGGCCUAACACAUGCAAGUCGAACGGUAACAGGAAGAAGCUUGCUUCUUUGCUGACGAGUGGCGGACGGGUGAGUAAUGUCUGGGAAACUGCCUGAUGGAGGGGGAUAACUACUGGAAACGGUAGCUAAUACCGCAUAACGUCGCAAGACCAAAGAGGGGGACCUUCGGGCCUCUUGCCAUCGGAUGUGCCCAGAUGGGAUUAGCUAGUAGGUGGGGUAACGGCUCACCUAGGCGACGAUCCCUAGCUGGUUUGAGAGGAUGACCAGCCACACUGGAACUGAGACACGGUCCAGACUCCUACGGGAGGCAGCAGUGGGGAAUAUUGCACAAUGGGCGCAAGCCUGAUGCAGCCAUGCCGCGUGUAUGAAGAAGGCCUUCGGGUUGUAAAGUACUUUCAGCGGGGAGGAAGGGAGUAAAGUUAAUACCUUUACUCAUUGACGUUACCCGCAGAAGAAGCACCGGCUAACUCCGUG